This 399-nucleotide ribosomal RNA is filed under the name uncultured Rhogostoma. RNAcentral describes it as "partial small subunit ribosomal RNA". It matches the Rfam family "Eukaryotic small subunit ribosomal RNA", at positions 30 to 432 of the family's 1831-position model. The record is from RNAcentral. Lineage: Eukaryota; Cercozoa; Thecofilosea; Cryomonadida.
GCUUGUCUCAAAGAUUAAGCCAUGCAUGUCUAAGUGUAAAUAAGUCUAUACUGUGAAACUGCGAAUGGCUCAUUAAAUCAGUUAUCGUUUAUUUGAUGAUCUCUUACUACUUGGAUAACCGUAGUAAUUCUAGAGCUAAUACAUGCGUAAGAUCCUGACUAACGAAGGGACGUAUUUAUUAGAUACAACCGACCUCCUUCUGGAGCCUUUUGUCGACUCAUAGUAACUUAUCGAACGCCAUAGCCUUGUGCUGGGCGUAGAUCAUUCAAAUUUCUGCCCUAUCAGCUUUCGACGGUAGUGUAGUGGACUACCGUGGCGUUAACGGGUAACGGGGAAUUAGGGUUCGAUUCCGGAGAGGGAGCCUGAGAAACGGCUACCACAUCCAAGGAAGGCAGCAGG